RNAcentral lists this unclassified non-coding RNA (230 nucleotides) under uncultured fungus. RNAcentral describes it as "sequence contains ITS1, 5.8S rRNA gene". The stretch from base 182 to 230 matches the Rfam family "5.8S ribosomal RNA", at positions 1 to 49 of the family's 154-position model. The record is from RNAcentral. Lineage: Eukaryota; Fungi.
UCUCCGUAGGUGAACCUGCGGAGGGAUCAUUACUGAGUGAGGGUCUCCGGGCCCGACCUCCAACCCUUUUGUGAACCACCUCGUUGCUUCGGGGGCGACCCUGCCUUCGGGUGUCGGGGCCCCCGGUGGACCACCCAACCCUGCAUCGUUGCGUCUGAGUCUUAUAUAUGAAUUAAAUCAAAACUUUCAACAACGGAUCUCUUGGUUCUGGCAUCGAUGAAGAACGCAGC